UUUAGGCAGCUCACUGGGCUCCAGAGGGCCAAAAUCAUAGAGGAAGGCUACAAUUUGGUAACAUCUUUUUUUUUUUUCCAGUGUCUCCUUUCAGCUCCUUCUGUCAUUCUAAACACAGUUUUACUACCUUUGGCUUGCUGCUACCAGUGGUUCAUGCAUUCCCUGCCAUCGCUUCAGAGUCAAGCUAAUGCUUUCCAUCCUGCAGCACACAGAGACCAGGACAGCACUGCAUUUAUGAAAUGCUUCAUGAGCACAGCUAUCUAAACAAGCACUGCAAGCACAACAUCUGUUACCCAGCCCUACCUGCUGUUUUUAUGAUGCUGUCACUCACUCCCUGAUCUUACGGGAAGACAAGGAGACCCUCCUGUGAGCUUUGCCAAGUGUUCAUAAAGUUCCCGUCCUUGAAGUUUCAAGUCAUUCAAACAAUUCUUAAUUUGAUCUAUAACAAAUCCAGUUUUGGUUGGCAGGGCACAGCAAGUAUUCCCUGAGCUUUCCUGUUACCCAUGGGGCUGAAUUGAAAGAAAACCCACCAUCUGAGGAGUAGAAAAAAUGCAGAGCUUUUUUGGGGGGCAGUUGAGAGAGCAGGAUCUAUUCUGGGAGUAACUCAAUGUGAAAUUUGUUUACAGGACUCAGGGGAGAAACAAAAGUUAUAUGCUAUAAACCAAAAUAGGUCCUUUACCGUCUUUCUAAGUAGUAAGUACUUGAAGGCUCCCUUGGUGUGGAAACACAUA
This 731-nucleotide long non-coding RNA is filed under the name Coturnix japonica (Japanese quail). Its description in RNAcentral is "lncRNA (ENSCJPG00005018895.1)". The record is from RNAcentral. Lineage: Eukaryota; Metazoa; Chordata; Aves; Galliformes; Phasianidae.